CCGGUGGGUCACCCAAGACCUGGUUCAUUGCGGUCAGCCUCAAGCUCUGUGGCCUUAUCCUGUUGCAUCAAUGCUGGAGUCGAAGGAACUCCUCAAUCAAGUUGCAAAAGGUCAUCAGAGAGAUAGGUAUCGCCGAGGACGGAGAUGAUUUAAGGGGGGAGUAGUUAACACAUAAGCAAUAACAUGGGACACCCUAACUUAGCGCACAAGAAAUGUGAAAUAUCAUGUGCCGCCCUAACUUAUCCAGUCCGAUACGGAGGGCGCCGAUGCAGUAGAUGCCGUUGCAGCGGGCGGCUCUGUUAUCUGAUUGGGCGCCAGCGAUCGCAUGAUCUUGUUUAUGCGUAGGCGGCUCUUAUCUCUUGUGAGCGCGGACGGCUCGCCGGCUAGGUUUCGGUGUAGGUUUAGAAGUAAGCGUUAGUUUAGAAUUGGACGAAUAAAUGAACGGAGCGUUCAUAUCAACUCCGACACGAGUCGUAAAACGUGUAUUGAUAUAAUCAUAUUGUUGAGCCUUAAGGGCCAACGAAAUAGAGGGCAAUUACCCUCUCAACAUAAUCUUCGGUAGAAGACUCAGUUGCCAACCGCAACCACCGUCCCCCGCUACAAGAGCGGGCCACGGGAACCCGAUCGCUGCCGCCGGAGCCAACGCAACGCAUACCGCAGCUCGGACCAAAAACGACAUAAAGUUAAUUUACAUACAUACCUCCCUAUAUGAGUGAGAAUUAAGGUGCAACAAUCUGGCAUGUUAUUAUAAGUAAUGAAAUUAACUUCCAGCUGAGAGUGCUUAUGAAGUUACAGAAAAAGUAACUCCUGCUUGGUGUAUAGAAAUCACAUGAAUUGUACCAACUCAGGGUACUAAAAAGUUAAACACAUCAAAGGAAAGAAUAAUGCCCGAAAACUUUUCGGACUAAAGUCGUUUAGGCUGCUGCCCGACUCUGACUAAGAUCUGAUCAAAUUCCUUCAUAUAUUGUAUUUAUAUUGCUAGUAUUUUGUUUUCUAUCAUCACUUUCAUUGUAAACAAAGAUCCGUUGGUAAUCUUUUGUCUAAAAAUGUACUACACAUCGGUUAUCUAUCUGCCCAAUGCAUAGAUCGCCUCUAUACCAAAGGACGAGUCUUGCUUGUACACGAAAUACGAGUACAUUAAACACUUUAGUUAAACAUCAAGCUAACAAAUAACAAUCUCUCAUGCAUAUGUAAAGUACAGAAAUACACUUAGGAUUACAUUUACCUAUUGGCAUUUAAAUGUAUACUUUUAAAGUUUAUAUACAUAGAACAUUUAAGAACUCUCAUAUGUAUGUAUGCAUGUGCAUAUAUUAUAG
Molecule: long non-coding RNA, 1316 nt
Filed under: Drosophila guanche
Lineage: Eukaryota; Metazoa; Arthropoda; Insecta; Diptera; Drosophilidae
Source: RNAcentral